This 105-nucleotide ribosomal RNA is filed under the name Notamacropus eugenii (tammar wallaby). Lineage: Eukaryota; Metazoa; Chordata; Mammalia; Diprotodontia; Macropodidae. The record is from RNAcentral.
GUCUAUAGUCAUACUACCAUGAGCAUAUCUGAUCUCAUCUGAUCUCAGAAACUAAGUAGGAUUGGGCCUGCUUAGUCUUUGGAUAGGAGCCCAGUGCCCUAGGUC